GACGAACGCUGGCGGCGUGCUUAACACAUGCAAGUCGAACGGAGAUUAGAUGGAAGCUUGCGAAAUCUAAUCUCAGUGGCGGACGGGUGAGUAACGCGUGGAUAACCUGCCUGGUAGACCGGGACAACAGCUGGAAACGGCUGCUAAUACCGGAUACGCUCUGCUGAACGCAUGUUCUACAGAGGAAAGCUUUAGUGCUAUCAAAUGGAUCCGCGUCCCAUUAGCUAGUUGGAGGUGUAAAAGACCCCCAAGGCGACGAUGGGUAGCCGGCCUGAGAGGGCGAACGGCCACACUGGGACUGAGACACGGCCCAGACUCCUACGGGAGGCAGCAGUGGGGAAUCUUCCGCAAUGGGCGAAAGCCUGACGGAGCAACGCCGCGUGAGGGAAGAAGGCUUUCGGGUUGUAAACCUCUGUUUUCAGGGAAGAAAAAAAUGACGGUACCUGAAGAGAAAGCUCCGGCUAACUACGUGCCAGCAGCCGCGGUAAUACGUAGGGAGCAAGCGUUGUCCGGAUUUACUGGGCGUAAAGGGCGCGUAGGUGGUCUAUUAAGUUAGAGGUAAAAGUGCGGGGCUCAACCCCGUGACGCCUCUGAUACUGGUAGACUUGAGUACAGGAGAGGGUAGCAGAAUUCCCAGUGUAGCGGUGAAAUGCGUAGAUAUUGGGAGGAAUACCAGUGGCGAAGGCGGCUAUCUGGACUGAAACUGACACUGAGGCGCGAAAGCGUGGGGAGCGAACAGGAUUAGAUACCCUGGUAGUCCACGCCGUAAACGAUGAGUGCUAGGUGUUGCGGGUAUCGACCCCUGCAGUGCCGUAGUAAAC
This 821-nucleotide ribosomal RNA is filed under the name uncultured bacterium. RNAcentral describes it as "bacterial SSU rRNA". It matches the Rfam family "Bacterial small subunit ribosomal RNA", at positions 28 to 856 of the family's 1533-position model. The record is from RNAcentral.